UCAAUAUGUACCGCAGGGACGCGCCAGUAGUCAUUGAUUUUUAUUACGUGCCAGAACUCAAUCCUGAGUUAACUGAGGGGGUAGCGAGUGAGUAUAGCUAUUAUCAUCGGCACACAC
RNAcentral lists this small RNA (117 nucleotides) under Yersinia ruckeri. RNAcentral's name for it is "ManX 5' UTR thermometer". It matches the Rfam family "ManX 5' UTR thermometer". Rfam says of the family: Short UTR positioned upstream of ManX gene responsible for sugar uptake. Lineage: Bacteria; Pseudomonadati; Pseudomonadota; Gammaproteobacteria; Enterobacterales; Yersiniaceae. The record is from Rfam by way of RNAcentral.